ACAGCAGUAGCCGCGGGAAUACGGAGGGAGCUAGCGUUGUUCGGAAUUACUGGGCGUAAAGCGCACGUAGGCGGUUAUUCAAGUCAGAGGUGAAAGCCCGGGGCUCAACCCCGGAACUGCCUUUGAAACUAGAUGACUAGAAUCUUGGAGAGGUCAGUGGAAUUCCGAGUGUAGAGGUGAAAUUCGUAGAUAUUCGGAAGGACACCAGUGGCGAAGGCGACUGACUGGACAAGUAUUGACGCUGAGGUGCGAAAGCGUGGGGAGCAAACAGGAUUAGAUACCCGAGUAGUCCCUGUCUCUUAUAU
Molecule: ribosomal RNA, 305 nt
Filed under: uncultured bacterium
Lineage: Bacteria
Description: partial 16S ribosomal RNA
Rfam family: Bacterial small subunit ribosomal RNA
Source: RNAcentral